Molecule: non-coding RNA, 73 nt
Organism: Acanthoscelides obtectus
Lineage: Eukaryota; Metazoa; Arthropoda; Insecta; Coleoptera; Chrysomelidae
Source: the annotation of a GenBank genome assembly
GGUGCUGUAGACUAAUUAGUUAGGUCCACUCCACGGAAUGGAGAAGAUGUGGGUUCGAAUCCCACUUGCACCG